Molecule: long non-coding RNA, 786 nt
Organism: Mustela erminea (ermine)
Lineage: Eukaryota; Metazoa; Chordata; Mammalia; Carnivora; Mustelidae
Exons: 3
Source: RefSeq, a predicted model, not a curated record
GCGGAGAGGAUAUUCGGGGAAAGCCAGGAAAGCACCAAGAGCCGUGGUCAACUGGAAUCCGAAACCGCGGGCCCCUUCACUGCCAGAGGCUGUUGGGCCCAAAUCUGAUCCAUGUGUGAGCCAGCUGAACUCAGAAGCAUUCCCAGGGAAGUGACGUCCCCCCGCCCCGGCCUCGAGCCUCCCUGCUUGACACACUCAACUGGGGGCCACAGAGCAAAUUCCAAGACAGUUUCAAGAAUGAUGAUUCAGAGGCUCAAAGAGGACAUUUACGGGUAAGAGCUUGCUUCAUCUCUGUGGCCAGGACCGGCCUGGGGACACAUGACAGGGGUUGCCAGCCCCAGCCUCCGGAGAGAGGGAAGGAUGGGUUGGCCGGGAGCCCUCACAGCGGGUCCCGGUCCGGAGCCCUGAGAUGGGGAGGAUCUCGGAGGCCAGAAGCCGCGGCUGGACUCUGCCGUCCCGGCUCCCGACCCCCUCCAUUGGUCUCCCUGCAUCCCGCCUCCCGGUCCCACUCGAGUGAGCUCCUGCAGACCCAGCGUGCGGGGCAGGCGGCGUGGACCCCUAGGACCUGCGCCCUCAAGACCCGCGUCCCCUCAGCUCCUCCCUCCGCACACCCGCCCCCCCACCCCAGGUCCUCUGUCCUAGGCGCCAGCCUCAGGCCGGGGACGCCAGCCCCAGUUACCGCUUCGGAAAGUGCCAAGCGCGCACCGCGCCAGGACAGACCGCCGCCCGCCACCCCCCGCCCCCGCAGCCCCUCCGUCCACGCCCGGCUCCUCCUCCUCCUCCUCC